GACAUCUAUUCUCGACACACGUACACAGAGCCAUUUCAAAUAGAAGAUAAAAACGUAUUUGCUUAGUUGUUAACAAGUGGAAUCUCGUUAUCGUGCAGAUGUUCCAGAAUAAUUUUCGCCAAUAAAAAAGAGAGAAGGUGGUAAUUCGUGAAGUGUAAUCGUUGACCUCGAUCGAUUUCGGAGCGGGUUCGAGGAGAUCAAUGGCGAUAAGUUAACGGUGUUAUCCGAAGAUCCUUAUCUCUCAGGAAUCUCGCGAUCGACUGGCAGCGAGCCGAUGAACGAUAAGGACAUUGCUAAUUGCUCGUCGUUGCUUUUAAUUGCUCGCGGACACGUUAUAUUAACUGCCAAGCGUAACGGUAACGAUUACGGUAGCCAGAGAUCGAAAUGUUCCAAUUAUUCAUCAAUAAUUUUUCUUUUUCAAUUUAUUUAUCACUGUAAGUAACUUGAUGAUUAAUAUAUGAAAAUUUUAUAGAUUGUACAAUAAUAACAAAUAUCUCUCUCUUGCUGUAAUUAUGGAGAUUGUAAAAGUUAGAUUAGGUUAUAUCGUUUUGAGGUUAUAUAUUACACAGAGUUGGACACUAACCCGUUGAAAAAAUAACUAGUUAACAAUUUCGAAUGAACUUUAAAUAUUUAUUUAAAUAAUUUUAAGUAAAAUGGUAAAUAACAUUUAUUCGUAGCUAUUAUAGUUGUUUGAUUCGCUCUUCAUAUAAUCGUAGUCGUUUGAUAAUACAAUUAUUUGCAAUUAUUCGAUAAAUAAUAAAUUAUUAAACUAACUAUAUUCUUAACUUUAAUUUUAUUAAAAUUUUGCCCAUUUUUGUUCGUAAAAUACGUUAGAAAUUCGUUCGUAUAAUACAUUAGAAAUUCGUUCGUAUAAUACGGAGAAAUAAUUUUCGAGAGGUUAAAAUAAUCGUAGAGUUCAACAAAUUUCAACUGUUUAUAACUCAAUAACUAAGCUUUAAUUUUUGUAUAUCAACUUUUAUGUUUGCUUUGGCCUCAAGAAUUGAUUCCAGAGUUUCACAAAUACAUUAACACCUCAUGUAUUUGUAGAGAUUCAUUCUAAUCAAGCUUCGAUUGCAAUCUGAUCUUCGUUGUGAAAUUGACAAUAACAAGUUGAAGAAUGUUCAUAUAUUAAUCAGAUAGCUGGAUCAGAUAGAUUAAGAUAAGAAAGUGUGGAAUCGAGUUAAUGGUUGCACAAAGCGAAAUUAUCAUUAUCAUAACAAAUUAUCGUUUGGCAUUAACUCUAUUAUAAACAAUUUUAAUUCCUUUUCUGAUAAUUAUUAAGUAGACGUCGAAUCGUCGAGUUGGAUAACAGUAACCAACGUCUCGUUUAGAAAAUUUUAGUGAAAAUUCCAGGGGAUUAAUUAUUCCAGAGGAGCAGGGCCGUGCACGUCGCCCCUGGGCCCCCUCACGUGGACAGCCGGUUAUAAAUGGUCGGUCGUAAAAGUUGUGCGUGUCGUUGCGAGACGGAGGGAACAAGAAGGAACAUUCGAUGAGAGACGAGGGUUCGAAACACUCCGUGCACUGCAUUAUGGUAGGCAAAAAAGCGCGGGAGAUGCACCAGCCGCUUGCAAAGAAGAAACUGUUUCGGUAGUCGGUGAACAAUCGAUUAUAUUCGAGGAUUCUUCGUCGAAAACUAGAGAAAGAUUUUUCGAUACGAAUUAAUUUUCUCGAAAAUUGAAAUUGAAAAUACAGCGGAAUACGGGAUGAAAAAUAGGACGAAUCCACGAACAUCGAUUUUCUUACAAAGAGAUUUCUAGACGAUCACGAUCCAGAUCUGUAUAAUGCGAUUCGCCCGGGUUCCGUUCUGAUACAUUAUGUAACCUUCGAGAAGGGUUACAGAAUGCUUUCGUUUUCAUGAAUACCGCAUCUAUGAUCAGCAGGCCAGGUUUUUAAGACGGACGCCGUGUUAAUCCUUCGACCUGAUCACCUGAUACGAAAACUCUUAGUCAUCGUGGGGAACGGAGAAAGAAAGUAAAAGAAAGAGAUGCGCGAGGAAACAGCCGUGACAAUGAUGCAUCGAGCAGAGAUUUCUUUCGAUCCUCGAAAUAGAUUUAUUCGAGGAUACGAUUUGAAAUUCAUAAACCACUGUGAAGAAUAAUUUCUCCACUCUGAAAAAAUUAUAUGUAAUAAAAAAAAAUUUGGAAAAUUAAUUCUUUCGAAAUUAAAAUUUCUUUCAAAAAUGAAAAA
This is a long non-coding RNA of Apis cerana (Asiatic honeybee), 2187 nucleotides long. RefSeq lists it as uncharacterized. Lineage: Eukaryota; Metazoa; Arthropoda; Insecta; Hymenoptera; Apidae. The record is from RefSeq and is a predicted model, not a curated record.